This 510-nucleotide ribosomal RNA is filed under the name uncultured bacterium. Its description in RNAcentral is "partial 16S ribosomal RNA". It matches the Rfam family "Bacterial small subunit ribosomal RNA", at positions 28 to 507 of the family's 1533-position model. The record is from RNAcentral.
GACGAACGCUGGCGGCGUGCUUAACACAUGCAAGUCGAACGAAGAGCGACGGAAGCUUGCUUCUAUCAAUCUUAGUGGCGAACGGGUGAGUAACGCGUAAUCAACCUGCCCUUCAGAGGGGGACAACAGUUGGAAACGACUGCUAACACCGCAUACGAUCUAACCUCGGCAUCGAGGAUAGAUGAAAGGUGGCCUCUACAUGUAAGCUAUCACUGAAGGAGGGGAUUGCGUCUGAUUAGCUAGUUGGAGGGGUAACGGCCCACCAAGGCGAUGAUCAGUAGCCGGUCUGAGAGGAUGAACGGCCACAUUGGGACUGAGACACGGCCCAGACUCCUACGGGAGGCAGCAGUGGGGAAUCUUCCGCAAUGGACGAAAGUCUGACGGAGCAACGCCGCGUGAGUGAUGACGGCCUUCGGGUUGUAAAGCUCUGUUAAUCGGGACGAAAGGCCUUCUUGCGAAUAGUGAGAAGGAUUGACGGUACCGGAAUAGAAAGCCACGGCUAACUACGUG